This 72-nucleotide transfer RNA is filed under the name Danionella translucida. It matches the Rfam family "tRNA". From Rfam's summary of the family: Transfer RNA (tRNA) molecules are approximately 80 nucleotides in length. Their secondary structure includes four short double-helical elements and three loops (D, anti-codon, and T loops). Lineage: Eukaryota; Metazoa; Chordata; Actinopteri; Cypriniformes; Danionidae. The record is from Rfam by way of RNAcentral. RNAcentral also lists the same sequence under 1 other name.
GGUUCUAUUGUGUAAUGGUUAGCACUCUGCACUUUGAAUCCAGCGAUUCGAGUUCAAAUCUCGGUAUGACCU